This 5783-nucleotide long non-coding RNA is filed under the name Homo sapiens (human). RNAcentral's name for it is "HSALNT0170353". Lineage: Eukaryota; Metazoa; Chordata; Mammalia; Primates; Hominidae. The record is from RNAcentral.
GUGGAAUGACACAGCGUUUGUAGGGACCUCAGGCGGGUGGAAUGACACAGUGUUUGUAGGGACCUCAGGCAGGUGGAAUGACAUAGUGUUUGUAGGGACCUCAGGCAGGCGGAAUGACACAGUGUAGGGACCUCAGGCGGGUGGAAUGACACAGUGUAGGGACCUCACGCAGGUGGAAUGACACAGUGUUUGUAGGGACCUCAGUCGGGUGGAAUGACAGUGUUUGUAGGGACCUCAGGCGGGUGGAAUGACAGUGUUUGUAGGGACCUCACGCAGGUGGAAUGACACAACGUUUGUAGGGACCUCAGGCGGGUGGAAUGACACAGCGUUUGUAGGGACCUCAGGUGGGUGGAAUGACACAGUGUAGGGACCUCAGGUGGGUGGAAUGACACAGUGUAGGGACCUCACGUGGGUGGAAUGACACAGUGUAGGGACCUCAGGCGGGUGGAAUGACACAGUGUUUGUAGGGACCUCACACGGGUGGAAUGACACAGUGUAGGGACCUCAGGCGGGUGGGAUGACACAGUGUAGGGACCUCACGCAGGUGGAAUGACACAGUGUAGGGACCUCAGUCGGGUGGAAUGACAGUGUUUGUAGGGACCUCAGUCGGGUGGAAUGACAGUGUUUGUAGGGACCUCAGGCGGGUGGAAUGACAGUGUUUGUAGGGACCUCACACGGAUGGAAUGACACAGUGUUUGUAGGGACCUCAGGCGGGUGGAAUGACACAGUGUUUGUAGGGACCUCAGGCGGGUGGAAUGACAGUGUUUGUAGGGACCUCACGUGGGUGGAAUGACACAGUGUAGGGACCUCAGGCGGGUGGAAUGACACAGUGUAGGGACCUCAUGUGGGUGGAAUGACAGUGUAGGGACCUCAGGCGGGUGGAAUGACACAGUGUAGGGACCUCACGUGGGUGGAAUGACACAGUAUAGGGACCUCAGGCGGGUGGAAUGACACAGUGUAGGGACCUCACGUGGGUGGAAUGACACAGUGUAGGGACCUCAGGCGGGUGGAAUGACACAGUGUUUGUAGGGACCUCACACGGGUGGAAUGACACAGUGUUUGCAGGGACCUCACGUGGGUGGAAUGACACAGUGUAGGGACCUCAGGCGGGUGGAAUGACACAGUGUUUGUAGGGACCUCACACGGGUGGAAUGACACAGUGUUUGCAGGGACCUCACGUGGGUGGAAUGACACAGUGUAGGGACCUCAGGCGGGUGGGAUGACACAGUGUUUGUAGGGACCUCAGGCGGGUGGAGUGACACAGUGUUUGUAGGGACCUCAGGCGGGUGGAAUGUCAGUGUUUGUAGGGACCUCAGGCGGAUGGAAUGACACAGUGUAGGGACCUCACGUGGGUGGAAUGGCACAGCGUUUGUAGGGACCUCAGGCAGGUGGAAUGACACAGUGUUUGUAGGGACCUCAGGCAGGUGGAAUGACACAGUGUUUGUAGGGACCUCAGGCGGGUGGAAUGACACGGUGUAGGGAUCUCACGUGGGUGGAAUGACACAGUGUUUGUAGGGACCUCAGGCGGGUGGAAUGACACAGUGUUUGUAGGGACCUCAGGCGGGUGGAAUGACACAAUGUAGGGAUCUCACAUGGGUGGAAUGACACAGUGUUUUUAGGGACCUCACACGGGUGGAGUGACACAGUGUUUGUAGGGACCUCAGGCGGGUGGAAUGACAGUGUUUGUAGGGACCUCAGGCCGGUGGAAUGACACAGUGUAGGGAUCUCACGUGGGUGGAAUGACACAGUGUUUGUAGGGACCUAACGCGGGUGGAGUGACAGUGUUUGUAGGGACCUCAGGCAGGUGGAAUGACACAGUGUUUGUAGGGACCUCAGGCGGGUAGGAUGACACAGUGUAGGGACCUCACGCGGGUGGAAUGACAGUGUUUGUAGGGACCUCAGGCGGGUGGAAUGACACAGUGUUUGUAGGGACCUCACACGGGUGGAAUGACACAGUGUUUGUAGGGACCUCACGCGGGUGGAAUGACACAGUGUGGGGACCUCACGGGGGUGGAAUGACACAGUGUAGGGACCUCAGGCGGGUGGAAUGACACAGUGUAGGGACCUCACAUGGGUGGAAUGGCACAGCGUUUGUAGGGACCUCAGGCGGAUGGAAUGACACAGUGUAGGGACCUCAGGCGGGUGGAAUGACACAGUGUUUGUAGGGACCUCAGGCGGGUGGAAUGACACAGUGUUUGUAGGGACCUCAGGCGAGCGGGAUGACACAGUGUAGGGACCUCAGGCGGGUGGAGUGACACAGUGUUUGUAGGGACGUCAGGCGGCUGGAAUGACAGUGUAGGGACCUCAGGCGGGUGGAAUGACACAGUGUAGGGAUCUCACGUGGGUGGAAUGACACAGUGCUUGUAGCGACCUCAGGCGGGCGGAAUGACACAGUGUAGGGACCUCAGGCGGGUGGAAUGACAGUGUAGGGACCUCACGUGGGUGGAAUGGCACAGCGUUUGUAGGGACCUCAGGCAGGUGGAAUGACACAGUCUUUGUAGGGACCUCAGGCGGGUGGAAUGACAGUGUAGGGACCUCACGUGGGUGGAAUGGCACAGCGUUUGUAGGGACCUCAGGCAGGUGGAAUGACACAGUCUUUGUAGGGACCUCAGGCGGGUGGAAUGACACAGUGUAGGGAUCUCGCGUGGGUGGAAUGACACAGUGUUUGUACGGACCUCAGGUGGGUGGAAUGACACAGUGUUUGUAGGGACCUCAGGCGGGUGGAAUGACACAAUGUAGGGAUCUCACGUGGGUGGAAUGACAGUGUUUGUAGGGACCUCAGGCGGGUGGAAUGACACAGUGUUUGUAGGGACCUCAGGCGGGUAGGAUGACACAGUGUAGGGACCUCACGCGGGUGGAAUGACAGUGUUUAUAGGGACCUCAGGCCGGUGGAAUGACACAGUGUUCGUAGGGACCUCACGUGGGUGGAAUGACAGAGUGUAGGGACCUCACGUGGGUGGAAUGACACAGUGUAGGGACCUCAGGCGGGUGGAGUGACAGUGUUUGUAGGGACCUCAGGUGGGUGGAAUGACACAGUGUUUGUAGGGACCUCAUUCAGGUGGGAUGACGCAGUGUAGGGACCUCAGGCGGGUGGAAUGACACAGUGUUUGUAGGGACCUCACACGGGUGGAAUGACACAGUGUUUGUAGGGUCCUCAGGCGGGUGGAAUGACACAGUGUUUGUAGGGACCUCAGUCGGGUGGGAUGACACAGUGUAGGGACCUCAGGCGGGUGGAAUGACACAGUGUUUGUAGGGAUCUCACACGGGUGGAAUGACAGUGUUUGUAGGGACCUCACGCGGGUGGAAUUACACAGUGUAGGGACCUCACGUGGGUGGAAUGACACAGUGUUUGUAGGGACCUGACGUGGGUGGAAUGACACAGUAUAGGGACCUCACGCGGGUGGAAUGACACAGUGUUUGUAGGGACCUGACGUGGGUGGAAUGACACAGUGUAGGGACCUCACACAGGUGGAAUGACACAGUGUAGGGACCUCACGCGGGUGGAGUGACACAGUGUAGGGACCUCAGGCAGGUGGAAUGACACAGUGUAGGGACCUCACGUGGGUGGAGUGACACAGUGUAGGGACCUCACGCGGGUGGAAUGACACAGUGUUUGUGGGGACCUCACGUGGGUGGAAGGACAUAAUGACAUAGUGUUUGUCCACUUGUGUCUGGCAUAUUUCACUACACAUGAUGUUUCAAAGGCUCAGCCAUAUUGUAGCAUAUGUCAGAAUUUCAUUCCUUUUUUUGGCAGAAUUAGAUGUGGAUUUUUGAUGUAGGAGGUACGUUUCUAACCUACUUUUGUUUAUUUAAAAAAUUAUUGCUGGGCACAGUAUCUCACGCCUGUAAUCCCAGCACUUUGGGAGGCUGAGGUGAGUGGAUCACCUGAGGUCAGGAGUUGGGAGAUCAGCGUGGCCAACAUGGUGAAACCCCGUUGCUACUAAAAAUACAAAAAUUUGCUGGGCACAGUGGUGCAUACCUGUAAUCUCAGCUACUCAGGAGGCUGAGGCAGGAGAAUCACUUGAACCCGGGAGGUGGAGGAGGUUGCAGUGGGCCAAGAUUGCGCCACUGUGCUCCAGCCUGGGCAACAUAGCGAGACCCUGUCUUUACAAAAAGUGAAACAGGAAUCUCAGGGUUGUGUGUGUUUCUAAUAAAUGUUAAUAGAAGAUGAAUUUCAGGAACAAGUUAUUGGGAGAGAAACAUUAGCAGCUUUGUUUUGCUAAUAUGAUGGGCUAGGUUCAAGGAUCAUUUCCUAAAGUUUGAGAUGUGCUUUUCCCCUUUUGAUACCAGCUCUCAGAGUGAUGAUCGUUUCUGUAUAGGCAAGGGAAAUACUUGUCACUGCCUUCUUGCUAGUUUGACUGACUCUGAAAUACUUAAAGAUAGUUGUAUUUGUUGUUGCAUGUCUAGAUCUGCCACGGGGGAGAGGCCAGAGAGGCUUUGCUGACGUGCAGGGAGUGACCGGGGGAAUGUCCCAGCCUCACUUUGCAGGUGCAGUUGAGAAGGCACCAUGAGUAAAGGCGCUGCCCCACGCACCCAGGGUCCUAAGGCUUCGGCAGUUAAGAGUUCAUCCGUUGCCAUUUGAUGAGGGCUCUGGGAGUCAAAAGGCUUCCCUGAACAAGGAACCCUUGAGCUCAGAUGCAAAUGAGGGAUGGGCCUGGACCGGGAUGGGGGAUGGGAGGAGCCUGCAAAGGGGAGAGAGGGUGGGAGGACUUGACAUGGGAGAAGAACAGGCUGGGGCAAUGGGGUGUGAAAGCAAAGGGAGUAAGAUGAGCAUUUUGGUCUUUACUAAGGGCAGUGAGGAUUCAAAACAGCAUGGUUGGAUUUGAGUUUAAAAAAUAGAACUCACUGGCUGCAGUGUGCGGAGGUGGGCUGGAAUCCAUUUUUGCUCAGUUGGGGAGAGUGUAUUUUUAAUUUUCCAAAGUGACUAUGUUGGUGAUUGUGUCAGAGCCCCUGGCCUGUCGUUGGUGGUUAUAAAGCGCUUUUGAUUUGCCUGUAAAUCAGAGUCUACCAUGGCUCACAUAGUUAUUUGCAAAAAGAACUUCUAAGCAUGAAAUUGAGCAUAAAAUUGCCUAGGAGUAAUUCAGUUUGCUUAAUAUGUUUGAGAGAAAGGUUAAUAUAUUCAGUCAGACAGCCUUUUGUUUUUGGAUAAAGACGUUCUCAUUUUUCAGCAUGGCAUGAGGGAAAUAGCCUGGAAUAUUCUCAGUAAAUCAGAUUUUCCUUGAAAAGAGUGGCCCUACCUCUCAUAGACUUCAACGGCAGUGGUUUAAUAUGGUUCCCAAAUUCUGAAGUCUUCUGAAAUUUGUUAGACAAAGCAAGACUUAACGAUCACAGCAUGAUGCAAAUACUAAUUUUCCGAGUAAAACACAAUAAAAGAUUGACCGUUUCUCUCUCAUGUCAUUUACGUAUGUCUAUGACUGUGAGAACUAAAGUGGCCGUAUUUACAGUAAGGUAACUAUUGUUAAUGCUGAUGUAUUCUUGAGAAAUAAAAAGAGUGAAUGUUAAGUAUUCCUCAUCACAAAAAGGAGUUAUGUGGGCUAAUACAUUUGUUAAUUAGCUAAAUUUAAUUGUUCCACAAUGUAUGUAUACUUUAGACAUCAUGUUGUACAUGAUACAUACUUAUCUGUCAAUUGUUUUUUUUUUUUUUUUGAGACAGAAUCUCACACUGUCACCCGGGCUGGAGUGCAGUGGCUUGAUCUCAGCUCACUGCAGCCUCUGCCUCCCAGGUGCACACGAUUCUCCUGCCUCAGUCCCCCGAGUAGCUGGGAUUACAGGUGCACACCACC